RNAcentral lists this ribosomal RNA (372 nucleotides) under uncultured organism. Its description in RNAcentral is "bacterial SSU rRNA". It matches the Rfam family "Bacterial small subunit ribosomal RNA", at positions 526 to 896 of the family's 1533-position model. The record is from RNAcentral.
CAGAGACUGCAAGCGUUAUUCGGAUUCACUGGGCGUAAAGGGUGCGCAGGCGGCCGUGUGUGUUAGGUGUGAAAGCCCGAGGCUUAACCUCGGAAUUGCGCCCAAAACUACACGGCUAGAGCAUUGGAGAGGGUAGCAGAAUUCAUGGUGUAGCAGUGAAAUGCGUAGAUAUCAUGAGGAAUACCAGAGGCGAAGGCGGCUACCUGGACAAUUGCUGACGCUCAGGCACGAAAGCGUGGGGAGCAAAAGGGAUUAGAUACCCCUGUAGUCCACGCCCUAAACGGUGCACACUAGGUCUUAGCGGAUUCGAUCCCGCUAGGGCCCAAGCUAACGCGUUAAGUGUGCCGCCUGAGGACUACGGUCGCAAGACUA